RNAcentral lists this long non-coding RNA (8099 nucleotides) under Manihot esculenta (cassava). RNAcentral's name for it is "long non-coding RNA (MESC_LNC011567)". The record is from RNAcentral. Lineage: Eukaryota; Viridiplantae; Streptophyta; Magnoliopsida; Malpighiales; Euphorbiaceae.
UCCAACUGUGCCAGGGGCGUAGUGCAGGCCACACCUGGUCUUUCUCUUACAUAUCUCAUAACAUACAUGUCCAACUGUGCCGGGGCGUAGUGCAGGCCACACCCGGACUUUCACUUACAUAGUGCCAGGGGCGUAGUGCAGGCCACACCUGGACUUCCAUAUCAUAUCAUAUCAUGUCUCAUCAUAUUGAGGACCAAUGGGUCAUCCAAUAUCCAUCCACAUCAACAUCAAGAUAUGCAAUGCAACAUAUUCGUGAAUUCUAAUGCAAGCAACCUAGGAUAUCACAUGGCAUUCAUGAUGCAUGAUUCAUGCUAAAGUUUUUCAUUUAUUUAAAACGUAAGAGUUUAUUCUACUCACCUCUGGCUGACUCUGACAAGACUCUGAAGCAGCUGUCACUGCUGGGGUCCUCGGUUCCUCGGGUCCGAACCUACAAAGGUGGACUUAAAUGAGGGACCAAACAUACUAGAACAUGACUCUAAAACAUCCCCCAAAAACUCCCUUAAAACACCUCAAAACAUCCAUGGGAAGUAUGCAAAGGAAGGCUGAACAGGGCACUUUCGGCGGCAGGUUCGGCGGCCGAAAGUCCCUUCAGAGCCGAAAGUCAGGCAGGUUCGGCGGCCGAAACUCCCAGACAGAGACGAAACUCAUGCAUGUUCGGCGGCACUUUCGGCGGCCAAAACUGCCCUCCAGAGACGAAACUCCUUUUUCGGGGGCAGGCUUCGGCAGCCGAAGGCUGCCUCUACAAGCGGGUUCGGCGGCCGAAAGUUCCUUCGGCGGCCGAACCUGAGUUUCUCCAAAGUGGCAGAAACUCAGCUCCAACACGUACAAACGCCUCCCAAACCUUUCAAACAUGCAAAAACCUAUUCUACAACAAUCCCAAUCAUACCCUAUCAAGCAUACAAGCUCCUAGGGGUCUCAACUAGCCUAAACCCCAACUACAACACAUUAAACAUACCCACAUUGCUCAUAAACACACAUCAAACCCAUAAACUCAAAACAACCUAAACAUGCAUGUCUACUCCAUAAACUUGCAUAAAACUUGUUUAAGACAUACAAUGAGCUCAAGAUCGGCCCUUACCUCUUGAAGAUCGAGAGGAAAACGACCCUAGCUCGGAGAUGGGAGAGAUUGAGCUUCUUGAACCUCAAAGCUCCAAAACUUGCUUUAUAUUUGAAAAUCUUCAAAACAAAGUGAAAACUUGUGAAAAUCGUGAGAGAUUUGAAGCAAGAAACUCAAGAUCGGCGAGGGAUGGCGGAGAGCUCACCUUGGCCGACAAUGGAAAGAAAAGCUCGCCCAUUUCGGCUAAGGGACCCCUUUAUAGGUGGCUGGCCAGGCCACAUUCGGGAGCCGAACGUGCCUCCGCAAUGCAUGCAAGUUCGGCGGCCGAACCUGGACUUCCCUCACUUAUGCCUUCGGGGGCCUAAGGCUCUCCCGAAGUGCAUGCAUGUUCGGCGGCCGAACCUGGGUCUUCCUCCAAGAUUAUUUUCAUUCAAAAACUCAUUUCCUUUUUACUUAAAACCAUGAAAUACAUUAAAACAUUUUAUGAAAACAGGUUUCUACCCUACUAGAGGCUUCCGACACCCGAGAUUCCACCGGACGGUAGGAAUUCCGAUACCGGAGUCUAGCCGGGUAUUACAUUCUCCCCCCCUUAAGAACAUUCGUCCCCGAAUGUUCCUCAACUAGCACAUGCAAAGCAUACAACAUAACAUACACAUAACAUACAUACAAAGCACAUAAAACACAUAUAGAUCUAACCUUAAAAGAGAUGAGGGUACUGUUGGAGCAUAGACUCCCGUGUCUCCCAGGUGCAUUCUUCCAUAUUGUGGUGGUUCCAAAGGACUUUCACCAUCGGGAUUUCCUUGUUCCUUAGCUUUCUGAUCUGGGUGUCUAUGAUCCGUACUGGCUGUUCAAUAUAGGUGAGAUCCUCUUGGAUCUCCACAUCAGGCUCACUAAGAACCUUGCCCGGAUCUGACACAAAUUUCCUCAACAUUGAAACAUGGAAAACCGGAUGGAUUAUUUCCAUUGAAGCAAGUAAAUCCAGCUUGUACGACACAUUCCCAAUCUUUUGUAAGAUUUCAAAGGGUCCGAUGUAUCGUGGGGCUAGUUUACCUUUCUUCCCAAAGCGAACCACUCCUUUCAUAGGAGACACCUUGAGCAAUACCAGAUCCCCCUCCUGAAACUCUACUUGUCUUCUGCGGAUAUCUGCAUAACUCUUCUGUCUGCUUGCAGCAGUCUUGAUCCUUUCUCUGAUUAUGGGUACCACCCUGCUGGUGAUCUCUACUAGUUCAGGCCCUGCCAAGGCCUUUUCUCCAACCUCUUCCCAACAAACAAGUGAUCUGCACUUCCUCCCAUACAAAACUUCAUAUGGAGCCAUCCCGAUACUAGCAUGAUGGCUGUUAUUGUAGGCAAACUCCACCAAGGGUAGAUGCUGCCUCCAAGAACCGCCAAAGUCCAGCACACACAUUCUGAGCAUAUCCUCUAUCGUCUGGAUGGUCCUCUCUGAUUGUCCGUCCGUCUGUGGAUGGAAAGCAGUGCUGAAAUCCAACCUGGUACCCAUGGCAUUCUGCAGACUCCGCCAAAACCUGGAGGUGAACUGGGGUCCUCUAUUGGACACUAUUGAAACAGGAACCCCAUGCAGCCUAACGAUCUCAUCAAUAUACACCUGCGCCAACUUGUCCACAGAAUAGCCACUCCUGACAGGGAUGAAGUGAGCAGAUUUGGUGUGUCUGUUUACAAUCACCCAUAUGGAGUCCAAUCUAUUGAACGUCGCUGGUAACCCCACUACGAAGUCCAUAGCUAUAUUUUCCCAUUUCCACUCUGGAAUAGGUAGCGGGUUAAGCAUCCCAGCCGGCUUCUGGUGUUCCAGCUUCACCCUCUGAUACACUUCGCCGGCUGACACAAACUGUGCCACUUCUCUCUUCAUAGCUGGCCACCAAUAAACUUUCUUCAAAUCUUGGUACAUCUUGGUGGCUCCGGGGUGAACGCUGUAUCUUGCAUUAUGAGCCUCUCUCAUAAUGUCUCCCUUUAGCCCUAUGUCAUCUGGUACACACAAACGACUCCCAUAGCGGAGGAUUCCCUUGUUGUCGAAUCUGAACUCACUAUCUUUGCCUGACUGAACAGUCCUAGCAAUCUUCACUAACUCUGGGUCCUCAUGUUGUUUCUGAGCCACCUGCUCCAGAAACACGGGUGUCACUCUCAUCUGGGCAAUUAAGGCACCUGUACCAGACAACUCCAAUUGUAGACCUUCCUCAAUGAGCUUGUAAAACUCCUUCACCACUGGUCUCCUCUCUGCCGUGAUGUGAGAUAGACUGCCUAGUGAUUUCCGGCUUAGGGCGUCUGCCACAACGUUCGCCUUACCCGGAUGAUACUGAAUCUUGCAAUCAUAGUCACUCAGCAGCUCUACCCAUCUUCUCUGUCUCAAGUUCAAAUCUCUUUGACUCAGGAUGUACUGCAGGCUUUUAUGAUCUGUGAAGAUCUCACAUUUAACACCGUAAAGGUAAUGCCUCCACAUCUUGAGUGCAAAGAUAACGGCUGCCAUUUCUAGGUCAUGCGUGGGGUAAUUCAACUCAUGCUUCUUCAGCUGUCUAGAAGCAUAAGCAAUCACCCUUUCAUUCUGCAUUAACACACAAUCCAAUCCCACUCAGGAUGCAUCACAGAAGACUGUGAAGUCCUCACUGCUAGCUGGCAAAGCUAACACUGGUGCCGAUGUUAAUCUCUUCUUAAGCUCUUCAAAACUCUCUUCGCACUGGUCGGUCCACACAAACUUCUGAUUCUUCCUGGUUAACCUGGUUAGAGGAGCUGCAAUUUUCGAGAAGUCUUGAACGAACCUCUUGUAGUAACCUGCCAAACCCAAGAAACUUUUGAUCUCUGACACUGAAGUGGGUCUAGGCCAGUUAGCCACAGCUUCUAUCUUCUUGGGGUCCACCUCUAUCGCAUUUUCUGACACAACAUGCCCCAAGAAUGAGAUGCUCCUCAACCAGAACUCACACUUGGAGAACUUGGCAUACAAACCGUGUUCCCUCAAGGUCUGCAGAACCAACCUCAGAUGAUGGGCAUGCUCCUCUGCAUUCCUGGAAUACACUAAGAUAUCAUCUAUGAAGACAAUCACAAAGUGAUCCAGGUACUGGCUAAACACUCUGUUCAUGAGAUCCAUGAAUGCUGCAGGGGCGUUGGUUAACCCGAACGGCAUUACAAGGAACUCAAAAUGCCCAUAUCUGGUUCUGAAAGCUGUCUUUGGCACAUCUUCCUCUCUUAUCCUCAGCUGAUGGUACUCGGACCUCAGAUCUAUUUUGGAGAAACAACCCGCUCCUGCUAGCUGGUCUAAUAGAUUAUCGAUCCCUGGCAAAGAGUACCUAUUCUUGGUAGUGACUUUGUUCAACUGCCUGUAGUCGAUACAAAGUCUGAGGGAUCCAUUCUUCUUUCUCACAAACAAAACUGGAGCACCCCAAGGUGAGGUACUCGGUCGGAUGAAGCCCUUGUCUACCAGCUCUUGCAACUGUUCCUUAAGCUCCUUCAAUUCUGCUGGUGCCAUCCUGUAGGGAGGGAUAGAGAUCGGUCGGGUUCCAGGCAUCAAUUCUAUCUCGAACUCUAUCUCCCUAGCAGGUGAUAAACCUGGCAGCUCGUCUGGGAAGACAUCUAAGAACUCUCUGACCACUGGCACCGAGGCGGGCUCUCUAACCUGACUGCUAAGCUCUCUCACAUGAGCCAAAUACCCCUAACAUCCCUUCCUAAGCAACCUACGAGCCUGAAGAGCUGAUAUUAGACCUCUAGGUGUACCCCUUCUGUCUCCCCUGAAGACAACCUCAGACCCAUCCUGACCUCUGAACCUGACUCCCUUGUCCCUGCAGUCCAAGGUAGCACCAUGGGUAGAUAACCAGUCCAUCCCUAGAAUGACGUCAAAAUCUGUCAAGUCUAUAACCACAAGGUCGGCGGACAAGCAUCUUCCCUCAACAAACACAGGACUACACUGGCAGACUGACUCUGCCAUUGAUGGAUCACACUUGGGUCCACUGACCCAGAGAGGACACUCUAACCCAGAGAUCAUCAAUCCCAACCUUUCAACGGCUCUCGGUGCAAUAAAAGAAUGAGAUGCACCAGGGUCCAUUAAGGCAUACACAUCUGAACAACCAAUGACUAAGUUACCUGCCACCACGGUGUUAGAUGCAUCUGCCUGCUGUGUCAUUGUGAAGAUCCGUGCUGGAGCUGAUGGACCUUCACCUCUGAAACCCGCUGAAGAAGAGGCUAACCCUCUCCCUCUACCUCUGCCACUAGCCUGAGUCGUGGCUGGAGCUGCUGGCUGCGCUACACUACCUGAAGCUGUCUGCUGGGACUGAGCCAUCGGAACUGCUCUUGGACACUCUCGAGCCAUAUGUCCCUCCUGACCGCAUCUGAAACAGGCUGUCAUGCCAAACCGACAUACUCCCUUGUGUGGCUUACCACACCUUGCACAAACUGCAUUAUCCGCACCAGAGCUUGAGCCACCUCCAAAUCCUAGACUGGACUUAACCUUGUUCCAGAACUUGUUCUUCUUAGACUUCCUGUGGCCUCUGUCCCACUUUUUACUACCUGAAGCUGCUGCACUCAUUGAAGAAGAGCCUGGGGUCUUAGAACCAGAAGGCUGUGCCACUGACUGCUUGACUUUCCCCUCGAUGAUAGCACUAGCCUCCAUCCUCCUAGCCAUAUCCACUAUGGCAUGGAAGCUCUCCCUAUCUACGGACUGGAUCAAGGAGGAAUACCUGGAGUGAAGUUUCAUGAUACACCUCCUUGACUUCUUCUGGUCUGUGUCAAGAGUUUGCCCUGCAAACGACAACAGCUCCAAGAAUCUGUCGAUGUACUCAUCUACACUCAUUUCCUCUGUCUGCCUUAACUGUUCAAACUCAAUCAUCUUCAAUUCUCUUGAACUGUCAGGAAAAGCCCAUCCUGCAAAUUCAUUUGCAAACUCCUCCCAUGAUAGGCUGUCCAACCUCGGGCUCACAUAGUUCUUAAACCACUCACGGGUCUUUUUACAUUUGAGUGUGAACCCAGCCAUCUGAAUGGCUCUGCCGUCAUCAGCUCCUAUCUCAUCUGUAAUUGUUUUGACCCUUUCAAGGUACACAAACGGGUCAUCACCGGUUUCAAACUGGGGAGCACCCAGCUUCAUGUAGUCGGUCAUCUUGACCUUGCUCCCACCAGAUGAGCUAGGCUUAGGCAUAUGGGUUGCUGGAACUGUGGGUUCGGCUGAUGGUGGAGGAGGUGCAACAUUUUCUGAGGUAGGGUUAGCUGGAUUUGGAUAGUAGGGUGGAGGUGGAUACAUUGGGUGCUAUGGGUAUGGUGGGUAGUAGGGAGGGUAUGGCAUGUGUGUGGGAUAAGGGGUAAAGCUAGGGUAAUCCGAUGUACCUCCCAUCGAAUACCCGGGAUUUUGUGAGAAGUGUGGGUAGUGGGGUGGCUGAGCAAAUCCCGAGGCCUGAGUGCCUCCUUGGGACUCUCCCAUUCCCUCUUCUGACAUGCUAACUCCCAGACUGCCAUCUCUCCUCUGCUCUAUAUCCAUAUCAUCCCCCAUGUCCUCUGAUAUUCCUCCAUGAACUGUUCCCCUCACUGAUCUGCUUCUACCCAGAUCCAGAGACCUUUUAGGGUCUCUUGCUGCUCUUUCUCUGCUAGCCCUACUAGACAUUGCCCUAGGCAAUGUAGGAGGACGGGCGCUCAUGCCCUCAUCCUCAGGUGGCACUCCAGUCAAUCGUGCAGAUCGACGAGUUCCUCUCAUCCUGUUUUCUGAAAAACAGUACACAUCACAUAAAUGUUAGCAUCAUAUGGUUCAUGUGGGCACACAUGAACCCGCAUCGCAUACAUAUCAUUCAUAUCAUAGCAUUAAUGCACAUGUAUAUAAUCAUGGCAUUUCACAUUAUCAUGCAAGACAGAACUCCACAUCCUAUCCUAGUGGACAUGACCUUUCCUAUUGUGCUUGACCUUCUAUAACAUCUAUGAGCCCGACACUCUAGGUCCGACCAUAUGAACCUAGGGCUCUGAUACCAUUCUGUAACGACCCGGAAACCGGACCGCUACCGGCGCUAGGAUCCAGAUCGGCUUAAGGUCGCCGGGACCCGUAGCAAGCCUGACAUACAACCUGUAAGCCUGUGUAAUUCCAUACAUGAUCAUACAAAUACAUAAACAUGUAAACUUUUUCUUUCAUAAAUCAAGCUUAACCUGUGCAUGUACACUAACAUAACCAUAAACCUCACACUAGAGCCCUCAUCACAUGCUCCAAUGGGGUAUCAAUAACAUACAUUAAGCUUGAUUACACAUCUCAUCAAUAAUAAUAGUGAUCAUGCAUUAAAAGGGAAUACCAUACAUAUAGGGUCAAGCACAACCUCUAAUCCUCAAUAUCAUUUUACAUAUCAUGACUACAUAAUGCAUUACACUACAAUUUCAUCAUGUCCACAACUCCUAACUAUUACCUAAAAAUAGACUUUACUCCUGCCGACCUCCUGGUCUACCCUGUACCUGCAAACCUGGGGGGAUAAGGGGAAAGGGGUGAGCUAUAAGAGCCCAGUGAGCAGAAUAAUAAUAACAAUUAAAACACAUGCUAUCAUGUAAUGCAUCACAUCACAACCAUAUCACAUCAAAGAUGGACUUGUCACCAAGGGUCCUCUACAUAGGCCAACUAUGCCAGGGGCGUAGUGCAGGCCACACCUGGUCUUUCUCUUACAUAUCUCAUAACAUACAUGUCCAACUAUGCCGGAGGCGUAGUGCAGGCCACACCCGGACUUUCACUUACAUAGUGCCAGGGGCGUAGUGCAGGCCACACCUGGACUUCCAUAUCAUAUCAUAUCAUGUCUCAUCAUACUGAGGACCAAUGGGUCAUCCAAUAUCCAUCCACAUCAACAUCAAGAUAUGCAAUGCAACAUAUUCAUGAAUUCUAAUGCAAGCAACCUAGGAUAUCACAUGGCAUUCAUGAUGCAUGAUUCAUGCUAAAGUUUUUCAUUUAUUUAAAACGUAAGAGUUUAUUCUACUCACCUCUGGCUGACUCUAACAAGACUCUGAAGCAGCUGUCACUGCUGGGGUCCUCGGUUCCUGGGGUCCGAACCUACAAAGGUGGACUUAAAUGAGGGACCAAACAUACUAGAAC